GUGGGGAAUUUUGGACAAUGGGCGCAAGCCUGAUCCAGCCAUGCCGCGUGCAGGAAGACGCAUCUAUGGUGUGUAAACUGCUUUUGUACGGGAAGAAACACUCCCUCGUGAGGGAGCUUGACGGUACCGUAAGAAUAAGGAUCGGCUAACUCCGUGCCAGCAGCCGCGGUAAUACGGAGGAUCCAAGCGUUAUCCGGAAUCAUUGGGUUUAAAGGGUCCGUAGGCGGUUUAAUAAGUCAGUGGUGAAAGCCAAUCGCUCAACGAUGGAACGGCCAUUGAUACUGUUAGACUUGAAUUACAAGGAAGUAACUAGAAUAUGUAGUGUAGCGGUGAAAUGCUUAGAUAUUACAUGGAAUACCAAUUGCGAAGGCAGGUUACUACUUGUGGAUUGACGCUGAUGGACGAAAGCGUGGGGAGCGAACAGGAUUAGAUACCCCGGUAGUCC
This 445-nucleotide ribosomal RNA is filed under the name uncultured bacterium. Its description in RNAcentral is "partial 16S ribosomal RNA". It matches the Rfam family "Bacterial small subunit ribosomal RNA", at positions 354 to 796 of the family's 1533-position model. The record is from RNAcentral.